AGUGUUACUGUUUUGUGGUCGAUUCUGGGAUCCUUUUCUUGGUGUGUCUUGAUGUUUUCUAUUGGCUAAAGACAUGCCUCUGUGAAACUGACAAUCUCGGGUAGGAGCUGCUGGUUUGUGGUUGGCAGUAUGGAUCACGGUCUGCGACUCAUGAGGAGCUGGACUGGAGACAUGAAGAGGUUGUCAACAGGUGUGUUCCUAUACUGUACCAAAAUGAGAUAGGGAUCAGUCAUGAGGG
Misgurnus anguillicaudatus (oriental weatherfish) is the source of this 238-nucleotide non-coding RNA. The record is from RefSeq and is a predicted model, not a curated record. Lineage: Eukaryota; Metazoa; Chordata; Actinopteri; Cypriniformes; Cobitidae.